This 928-nucleotide ribosomal RNA is filed under the name Microbacterium sp. Its description in RNAcentral is "bacterial SSU rRNA". It matches the Rfam family "Bacterial small subunit ribosomal RNA", at positions 541 to 1465 of the family's 1533-position model. Lineage: Bacteria; Bacillati; Actinomycetota; Actinomycetes; Micrococcales; Microbacteriaceae. The record is from RNAcentral.
UUAUCCGGAAUUAUUGGGCGUAAAGAGCUCGUAGGCGGUUUGUCGCGUCUGCUGUGAAAACCCGAGGCUCAACCUCGGGCCUGCAGUGGGUACGGGCAGACUAGAGUGCGGUAGGGGAGAUUGGAAUUCCUGGUGUAGCGGUGGAAUGCGCAGAUAUCAGGAGGAACACCGAUGGCGAAGGCAGAUCUCUGGGCCGUAACUGACGCUGAGGAGCGAAAGGGUGGGGAGCAAACAGGCUUAGAUACCCUGGUAGUCCACCCCGUAAACGUUGGGAACUAGUUGUGGGGUCCAUUCCACGGAUUCCGUGACGCAGCUAACGCAUUAAGUUCCCCGCCUGGGGAGUACGGCCGCAAGGCUAAAACUCAAAGGAAUUGACGGGGACCCGCACAAGCGGCGGAGCAUGCGGAUUAAUUCGAUGCAACGCGAAGAACCUUACCAAGGCUUGACAUAUACGAGAACGGGCCAGAAAUGGUCAACUCUUUGGACACUCGUAAACAGGUGGUGCAUGGUUGUCGUCAGCUCGUGUCGUGAGAUGUUGGGUUAAGUCCCGCAACGAGCGCAACCCUCGUUCUAUGUUGCCAGCACGUAAUGGUGGGAACUCAUGGGAUACUGCCGGGGUCAACUCGGAGGAAGGUGGGGAUGACGUCAAAUCAUCAUGCCCCUUAUGUCUUGGGCUUCACGCAUGCUACAAUGGCCGGUACAAAGGGCUGCAAUACCGCAAGGUGGAGCGAAUCCCAAAAAGCCGGUCCCAGUUCGGAUUGAGGUCUGCAACUCGACCUCAUGAAGUCGGAGUCGCUAGUAAUCGCAGAUCAGCAACGCUGCGGUGAAUACGUUCCCGGGUCUUGUACACACCGCCCGUCAAGUCAUGAAAGUCGGUAACACCUGAAGCCGGUGGCCCAACCCUUGUGGAGGGAGCCGUCGAAGGUGG